Molecule: RNA transcript, 1753 nt
Organism: Benincasa hispida (wax gourd)
Lineage: Eukaryota; Viridiplantae; Streptophyta; Magnoliopsida; Cucurbitales; Cucurbitaceae
Gene name: trihelix transcription factor ENAP2-like
Source: RefSeq, a predicted model, not a curated record
ACCGCCCCCCCCUUUCUUUUGGGCCGAAGCCGUAGCCGAAUCCGAGCCCUUCCGACACAUUAACCAAAACCAUGACCCAACCCCCUCCUUCCGGUCCCGGCCCGCUUCCUUUUCGGUUCCCUCCUAUCCCUUAUCCCUUUCCCAUCCCCGGCGAUAUCAUCGCCUCGACCGCUUCACUCGCUCCUCAUCGCCGACGCUCUCUCUUUUAUCUUCUCUUUCUAUUCCCCUCCUUCCCCUUCCCCUCUCUUCUUCUCAUUUCUCAUGGGGGAUCUCACCGAUUCUCUCACCCCUUCCUCUGCUAACUCUCGCCAAGUUCCCAUUCGUGAGGAUUGCUGGAGCGAGGACGCUACCUCCACUCUCAUCGACGCUUGGGGUCGCCGUUUUCUCGAGCUCAAUCGUGGCAAUCUCCGUCAGAAAGACUGGCAGGAUGUUGCCGAUUCUGUUAACUCUCUCCAUGGUCUUACCAAGAAAACCCAUCGUACCGAUGUUCAGUGUAAGAACCGGAUCGACACCGUUAAGAAGAAGUACAAGACCGAGAGGGCUAGGGUUUCUGCUUCCCACGGAAAUUUUGUUUCCUCUUGGCCCUUUUAUGCUCGUCUCGACGAACUCAUUGGUCCUACUGUUUCUAUGAAGAAACCCUCUUCUCCUCCUAUGGCUCUUCCUUUGCCCUUUCGUAAGACGCCUCCCCCUUCCGCUGCUGCUACUCCCGCCGUCGUUGCUGUCUCUCAGAAGCGGACUGCUUCUGCCAUGGACGAUGGCUAUUUCCGGAGGAAUUACUCGGCUAUGGCGGCCGCUGCUGCUGCCGCUGCAUUGACGGAGGAAGAGGAGGAGGAGGAGGAGGAGGAGGAGGAGGAGAGAGUGAGCGACGAUGAGGAGGCGGAAGGGGAAGGCAUUAGUCGGUUGGCAAGAGCGAUUAAAAGGUUUGGGGAGGUGUAUGAAAGAGUGGAGGCAGAGAAGGUGCGACAGAUGGUGGAAUUGGAGAAGCAGAGGAUGCAAUUUGCCAAGGAUUUGGAAGUGCAGCGGAUGCAUAUGUUUAUGGAGACCCAGGUUCAGCUUGAGAGGAUUAAGCGAGGGAAGAAAUCAACUCCCAGUGGACUAGAAAAUUUGUUCUCAAGUUUCAAUGUUGCUUCUAGCAUGACUAUGUUUGGGCUUGGAAUGUUUGGGGAGGAUGUCUCCAAGGUCUUGGACGCAAGCCUCUAGGUGAAAAGCUCGAGGAAAAAUUUGGAGUGCAUGAUGUCUUCCCGUAGAUUAAUGGCAGUGGGGGGGCCCUAACUAAUAGCAUUGGUAUCAAAAGGAAAAAGGAAAGAGAGUACUUAAAGGAUGAUUCCUUCCUCAAGAUAUGCUAUUGGUUCAUGUCGUUCUGUAUCAAUAUCUAGAGGUAGCCAUGUGAAGGAAUAACAGAAAAACUUCGUAAGGUACAUACAGAUGGAAGCUGAUAUUGUCGAGGAGAUGAUAAACACUUCUAAUUUUAAAUUCUCAAAGGAGUUUGAAUUUAAUUUGUGAAGUUAGCUAAGGCCAACCCCCCAUCCCCUCUCCUUGUAGGGAAGUUAGGACAACCUUUUUAGAUGUGAAAGCUAAUUUAAGACAACCUUUUUAUCUUCUACUUGUGAGAAUUAGCGUGGUGUAAUUCAGCUUCUUAAAAUAUCUUAAUGCGACGUUUUUAAAGAUUCAGUUGGGAAAGCUAAUCUUGUAUGAAAAUGAAUGUUACUUUUCUGGUGGGUAUGAAGUUUUCCCCUCUUCUCAUGUGGUGUAA